This 255-nucleotide ribosomal RNA is filed under the name uncultured bacterium. RNAcentral's name for it is "partial 16S ribosomal RNA". It matches the Rfam family "Bacterial small subunit ribosomal RNA", at positions 524 to 776 of the family's 1533-position model. The record is from RNAcentral.
UACAGAGGGUGCAAGCGUUUGUUCGGAAUUAUUGGGCGUAAAGCGCGUGUAGGCGGCUUUGCAAGUCGGGUGUGAAAGCCCUCAGCUUAACUGAGGAAGUGCGCCCGAAACUGCAGAGCUUGAGUACCGGAGAGGAUGGUGGAAUUCCCCAAGUAGAGGUGAAAUUCGUAGAUAUCGGGAGGAACACCAGUGGCGAAGGCGACUACCUGGCCUGUUUCUUGACGCUGAGGCGCGAAAGCUAGGGGAGCAAACGGG